RNAcentral lists this long non-coding RNA (798 nucleotides) under Monodelphis domestica (gray short-tailed opossum). Its description in RNAcentral is "lncRNA (ENSMODG00000045910.1)". Lineage: Eukaryota; Metazoa; Chordata; Mammalia; Didelphimorphia; Didelphidae. The record is from RNAcentral.
CAUGACAUUGAGCUGAAAUUUGUCAUUAGUGUUAGCUAAUCAUAUCUUUUCUGGUGCUCCAGUUUUCUGAGAUCAAAUCCCUCUGGAUUACACAUAUCACCUAUAUAUGGAUAUGAUGAGAAAAUGCUAAAACAAAGAGGUAAAGAGGGCACCAUGACCUAGAAAGUAGAUCUGGGAGCCACAAUAACUAUGCUGAGAUAUUAAGAUGGCAGCUCAAGGUCACUGCAUACUUAGCAGGAAGGAAAAAAGCAAAGAUAAAGAAGGAUGCUAGUGAGAAGGACAACAAUGGCAACAACUAAAACAACAAAAACCUAACACCACAACUAAGCACAAAACAAAUGGGAAGUUUUACACAAGAAAGAUGCCAUUUCUUCAAGAUAAGAAGAAUUAAAAAAAAAAAGAAGGGAGAAAAGCACUUCAGCAAAACUAGCCAAUUCAUCCACUACCAGCAAAGGUCAGAAAAGCAAACCCUAUUAGCAGAGAUUUCUGAGGGAGAUACAGGAGAAAUCAUGGGACAAAGAAGUCAAGUCACCAUGCACAACUUUGACCAAAAUCUGCCUUCAGACACUGAUGAAGAUAUUACGCUAUCCUAAAUCCAAAAACAUUGGGAACAGGAAUGCCCUCAGCCAUCAUCUUAGAAAGUGAUUCCCAUGGAGUUACAACCUGGCAACUACUCCUGAAGGUACUUCAGCCACAGUUAUUGAAAACCUAGAGAAGAAAAUUCUGACCAUCAAACUACUUGAUACUGUCCAGUGACUCAACAUUAGAAACUGAUAGGAUUUUAUUCAUGAGAAUGAC